This 557-nucleotide long non-coding RNA is filed under the name Monodelphis domestica (gray short-tailed opossum). Its description in RNAcentral is "lncRNA (ENSMODG00000044711.1)". The record is from RNAcentral. Lineage: Eukaryota; Metazoa; Chordata; Mammalia; Didelphimorphia; Didelphidae.
AUGCCUGAACUCAUAGGCUCAUCUGCAUCUGUGGGAUGUGGUCGAGAAGCUGGGAAGAAGAUGCCGCCAGCAGCAGUUCGGUACCCAAGCAGACCAAUUACCAAUACUGUAAUAAUGAUGAUCACAGUAGAAAUAAUAACAACAAUGAUGAUUGUUGGUGAUGAUAAUGGUGAUGAUGAUGCACAGUGUAUAGAGAUCCAUCUUCAAAAUCAGGAAGACCUAGGUUGAAGAUCUCUGAGGUAUUGGCUACAGUGCCAGCUAGAUGGCGUAAUGGAGAGAGUGUCAGACUGAAGUCAAGAAGACUCAUCUCUGGAGUUUACAUCUGACCUUAGACACUUAGUAGUUGUGUGACCCUGGAUAAGUCACUUACUCCUGUUUGCCUCAGUUUCCUCAUCUGUAAAAAUGAGCUGAAGGAAAUGGCACUCCAGUAUCUUUACCAAGAAAAUCCCAAAUGGUGUCAUAGCGUCAGACAUGAUGGAAAUGACUGAACAACAACACUUCCCCAUGCCUAGUACAUUGUUGGUACUUAAUAAAUAUUUAUUGAAUUGAAUUUUACA